GAAGCUUGAUUAUCACAUGGGCAUGUAUGUGAAUUUGAUUGGUCAGGUCUGGAAACGCCCCUUUUAGAGGGCGGUGCAGUUUCUCAAUCCUAGUAUCCUCCUACCAUCAUUCCAACAUCAAGCAGAUUUGCUUGUAGAUCACAGAGAUUUUUUUUGAGAAAAUGAGCUAUUAAAAUGGAAAAAUAAUUACAACAAUUACAUCUGUAAUUGUUAUUUUGUACAGUAUAACACAUUAUUUAUUUAUUUAAUUUCAUUUUUAUUUUAUUUAGACAGUUUUGAGAUUGCCAUUGUAUUUAUUUUAUUUUAUUUUAAAUUAAGCUUUUAUUUUGAAACUGUAUUCCAGAUGUUAUCAGGGCUGUUUUCACUUAACUCUCAACCCUGCAAUCCCAAAAACAUUCAUUGACUAGUAAUGUAAUUGUGAGUGGUAAAUCAACCAAUCUGGUACAGCAAAAAUGGGCAAUUUACCAUGCAACUCUUGAGAUGUGUGUGCACUUCUUGACUUUAGUGACGGCAGUUAAAUAACUACAUCAUGGAUACUGGAUUCCCCAAACAAGAAGAGCACUAGGGUGAGAGCUCAUAACAGAUAUUCGGCAAGUGUUUGUAAUCUAAUUUUAAAGUCUAACUGUUAAAAAGAAAUGAAAAUCACUGAGGUAGGAGAAGCAGGUGUUAAUUUUGUAGAGCUGGUCCAAAGACUUGAAAGAUAUGGAUGAGAGGGUGCUUUUCUUCCAGCAUGUGUUUCCAGUGGAUUUUGGCACUGACUUCGACUCAGACAUUCAGGUUCUGAUGUGGCAUUUCCUGUAUCAUCUGAAGCACUUCCUGCCAAUCCCUGACCUUCAGCAGUGUCUACAGCAAGAAGCAAGCUGUCAUUAAUGGGCUCCCAAAAAAGUGAAUCUGGUCGAGGAAUUUUUUUAGUGAAGAGCCGAGGACAAAAGUGUGAUGACAGUGAAGAGACAAACUUCCAGCCCUGGAACCAAUUAGAGCAGGAGGAGUCCCUCCACCAGUCCACCAGAGGUGCCUUCGGUGUGAAGAUAGAAGCAGGUGCUACUGUCGUUCCUCUGGAGAAGUAAUCAACAGCACCUCUGUUCUAAGUCUGCAAGAUGGAUAAUACAGAAAUGACAUCAGGACCCUGGAAUGAGAGCCAGUUUGCCUGAUUUUACAGCAUGUUGAAUGAGACUCUCCGAUGAAGUACGCCACACAUGCACAGGUACACACUCAUCCUGAUGUUUCCA
Long non-coding RNA from Megalobrama amblycephala (Wuchang bream), 1229 nucleotides. RefSeq lists it as uncharacterized. NCBI's taxonomy places the organism in Eukaryota, Metazoa, Chordata, Actinopteri, Cypriniformes, Xenocyprididae. The transcript has 7 exons. The record is from RefSeq and is a predicted model, not a curated record.